UCCUGGUUAGUUCAGCUGGUAAAGCGCUCCACUGGAAAUGGGGAGGUCCCUGGUUUGAUUUCAGGACCAGGCA
Molecule: transfer RNA, 73 nt
Filed under: Ixodes scapularis (black-legged tick)
Lineage: Eukaryota; Metazoa; Arthropoda; Arachnida; Ixodida; Ixodidae
Description: tRNA-Ser for anticodon GGA
Rfam family: tRNA
About the family: Transfer RNA (tRNA) molecules are approximately 80 nucleotides in length. Their secondary structure includes four short double-helical elements and three loops (D, anti-codon, and T loops).
Source: RNAcentral